AUUCCCUGGCAAUGGUCAAGGAGACACCUGAUUGGUGGUGUUGCUCUUAAAACAGUCAGGGGCAAGACACGUACUGUCCAAAGUUUAUCCUACCUUGAUGUCAGUGUUGGUGGCCAGAGCUGUUUCAUGCCUGGGGCACAUUA
Non-coding RNA from Myotis davidii, 143 nucleotides. The record is from Rfam. Lineage: Eukaryota; Metazoa; Chordata; Mammalia; Chiroptera; Vespertilionidae.